UUGACCUCAAAUCAGGUAGGACUACCCGCUGAACUUAAGCAUAUCAAUAAGCGGAGGAAAAGAAACUAACAAGGAUUCCCUUAGUAACUGCGAGUGAAGAGGGAAGAGCUCAAAUUUAAAAUCUGGCAGUGUUUUGCUGUCCGAGU
RNAcentral lists this ribosomal RNA (146 nucleotides) under unidentified. RNAcentral describes it as "Amanita sp. 'pacifi-gemmata' partial 28S ribosomal RNA". It matches the Rfam family "Eukaryotic large subunit ribosomal RNA", at positions 1 to 143 of the family's 3401-position model. The record is from RNAcentral.